RNAcentral lists this transfer RNA (58 nucleotides) under Meloidogyne exigua. Its description in RNAcentral is "tRNA-Trp". The record is from RNAcentral. Lineage: Eukaryota; Metazoa; Nematoda; Chromadorea; Rhabditida; Meloidogynidae.
CAAAUUUUUUUUAAUUUUUUGAUUUUGAAAAUCAAUUUACUUUAUGUAUUAAAAAUUU